CCUACGGGUGGCUGCAGUGAGGAAUAUUGGUCAAUGGCCGAGAGGCUGAACCAGCCAAGUCGCGUGAGGGAAGAAUGUCCUAUGGAUUGUAAACCUCUUUUGUCAGGGAGCAAAGUCACCCACGUGUGGGUGUUGGAGAGUACCUGAAGAACAAGCAUCGGCCAACUCCGUGCCAGCAGCCGCGGUAAUACGGAGGAUGCGAGCGUUAUCCGGAUUUAUUGGGUUUAAAGGGUGCGUAGGCGGGUUAUCAAGUCAGCGGUAAAAUCGUGGAGCUCAACUCCAUCCAGCCGUUGAAACUGAUGAUCUUGAGUGGGCGAGAAGUAUGCGGAAUGCGUGGUGUAGCGGUGAAAUGCAUAGAUAUCACGAAGAACUCCGAUUGCGAAGGCAGUUCACUGGACUGCAACUGACACUGAGGCUCGAAAGUGUGGGUAUCAAACAGGAUUAGAUACCCCGGUAGUC
RNAcentral lists this ribosomal RNA (459 nucleotides) under uncultured bacterium. RNAcentral describes it as "partial 16S ribosomal RNA". It matches the Rfam family "Bacterial small subunit ribosomal RNA", at positions 338 to 795 of the family's 1533-position model. The record is from RNAcentral.